RNAcentral lists this ribosomal RNA (428 nucleotides) under uncultured archaeon. RNAcentral describes it as "bacterial SSU rRNA". It matches the Rfam family "Archaeal small subunit ribosomal RNA", at positions 474 to 903 of the family's 1478-position model. The record is from RNAcentral.
UACCUGCAGCUCGAGUGGUAACCGCUUUUAUUGGGCCUAAAGCGUCCGUAGCCGGUUUGGUAAAUAUCUGGGUAAAUCGUGAGGCUUAACUUCACGAAUUUCGGAUAGACUGCCAGACUUGGGAUCGGGGGAGGUCAGAGGUACUCCAGGGGUAGCGGUGAAAUGUUGUAAUCCUUGGAGGACCACCGGUAGCGAAGGCGUCUGACUAGAACGAGUCCGACGGUGAGGGACGAAGCCCUGGGGCGCAAACCGGAUUAGAUACCCGGGUAGUCCAGGGUGUAAACAAUGUGGGCUUUGUAUUGGAGGUCCCACGUGGGCGUCCAGUGCAGAAGAGAAGUUGUUAAGCCCACCGCCUGGGAAGUACGGUCGCAAGGCUGAAACUUAAAGGAAUUGGCGGGGAGCACAGCAACGGGAGGAGCGUGCGGUUU